RNAcentral lists this ribosomal RNA (407 nucleotides) under uncultured bacterium. RNAcentral's name for it is "partial 16S ribosomal RNA". It matches the Rfam family "Bacterial small subunit ribosomal RNA", at positions 28 to 526 of the family's 1533-position model. The record is from RNAcentral.
GACGAACGCUGGCGGCGUGCCUAAUACAUGCAAGUAGAACGCAGUUGCGAACGGGUGAGUAAAGCGUAGGUAACUGCCUCAUAGCGGGGGAUAACUAUUUGAAACGAUAGCUAAUACCGCAUACUGUGAGAUGGACCUGCGUUGUAUUAGCUAGUUGGUGUGGGAAAGGCUCACCAAGGCGACGAUAAAUAGCCGACCUGAGAGGGUGAUCGGCCACACUGUGACUGAGAAACGCCCCAGACUCCUACGUGAGGAAGCUAUAGGGAGGCUUCGGCAAUGGACGGACGUCUGACCGAGCAACGCGGAGUGAGUGAAGAAGGUUUUCGGAUCGUAGAGGUCUGUUGUUAGAGACGCGGGAACUAACCAGAAUGGGACGGCUAACUACGUGUCAGCGGCCGCGGUAAUUC